Long non-coding RNA from Marmota monax (woodchuck), 1361 nucleotides. RefSeq lists it as uncharacterized. The record is from RefSeq and is a predicted model, not a curated record. NCBI's taxonomy places the organism in Eukaryota, Metazoa, Chordata, Mammalia, Rodentia, Sciuridae. The transcript has 4 exons.
UUUUGGGUUAAUUUGCCAAUGAGAAGAUGCAUGAAAUUGGGGAAGGUAGAAAUGAUGCGAUUAUUCUUCUCAGGAGAUUGUGAUUAUCGGACACAGCAGGCUUCCAGAACUUUUCUCCAUACCUUCAUAGUUGCAGUGGUCAGAGAACUCCAUGCUACAGUUCAUCAGCAAUUUAGUGUUUCUUUGUGCCUUGGAUGGUAGCCUUCUAGACAGACCUUUAUUCUCUCCACUUUUCCCACAUUUAUGUAAAUUCCUUUUUAAAAUACUUACUGGGGGCUUCAUUUUCUUGACAGAAUCUAGGCUGAUCCAGGGCCUUAAUAUGCUGUAUAAUGGAGAAGUUCUAAAUGUUCUUGCCUGGGAAAAUCAUAUCAUAUAGGGACCAUUUGAGGAAAAUUGCUUAUGGAAAGCCAGCAACCUAUCCAACAGAUCUCUCCAGGGAAGGGGUGUCCAUGUUCAUUUCUGCUGCCCCAGAGCACAGCACAGUGCGUGGGUAGAGUACAAACCCGAUGUACUUCAAAGAUCUGAACUUGGGCCUGUCACAGGGUGGAAAGAGACUUGAGAAAAUUUGCAGCCUCUCAACCAAGUGUCUGCUUCUUCCUGCUCCUCUCUGGUAGACUGCUCAGGAGUGGAAACACCAUCAUCCCAGGGAAGCUUAGGGCAUUCUUUGAAGAGAGUUUUCCCUGGAGGAGAGCGCUUCAAGAGGGGAAAAUAUGUCAGAUGUUUCCUAGACCAGUAUGAGGCAACCGUAGUGUAAGCUUCAAUCCAUGCCGUACAAGGGCCCAGGCAAAAGGUAAGCAACCAGGAUGUAUCAAGGAGCCCUAAUAUUUCUCUAUAUUGAUGUGAAUUAAAGAAAUUAAACAGUGAUCAUGCCUGCUCUACCUGGGUGGGGGUGAUGGGUAGGCCACAGGCUGGGCCUGAGCACAUGCCUCUGGCUGGAAAACAGGCAGGGCAGGAGGGAAGCAGAGAGAGAUGCAGGAUGUGUUUGAUGAUCUGCUCUGAAAGGCAAGGAGGGAAGUCAUUGAUUACUGAGCUUUGUUUGAUCUGCUCAAGGAUCAAAGGGACAAACACUAUUUGCAAAGAUGAAAGUUGACCUGAAAACCCUGUGUCCCCACCUGCUGGGAUGCCAGGCUUCCCUGUGCCCAUGGGUCAGGGUGGAGGACUCUCAGAGGAACCAGGGGCAAGACUGUAAGCCCAUCACUUCUUUAACCUGACCUCUGAACUCUCUCCUGACAAUUGCCUUUAAGAAGAGGUUUCUCUCAUCCCUUGGGCCCUCUCUGUUUGGGGAACUCAAGGUUAUAAGGAGACCUGGGGGCCAAGCAUUGCCUCUGGCCUUUAAAGAACAUGGAUAAAUCAUCAGAUAA